GCCGCUGUGGCGGAACUGGUAUACGCGCACGACUCAAAAUCGUGUCUCUUUUUAGGGAUGUCGGUUCGACUCCGACCAGCGGCA
Molecule: transfer RNA, 84 nt
Filed under: Patescibacteria group bacterium
Lineage: Bacteria
Description: tRNA-Leu
Rfam family: tRNA
About the family: Transfer RNA (tRNA) molecules are approximately 80 nucleotides in length. Their secondary structure includes four short double-helical elements and three loops (D, anti-codon, and T loops). Further hydrogen bonds mediate the characteristic L-shaped molecular structure. tRNAs have two regions of fundamental functional importance: the anti-codon, which is responsible for specific mRNA codon recognition, and the 3' end, to which the tRNAs corresponding amino acid is attached (by aminoacyl-tRNA synthetases). tRNAs cope with the degeneracy of the genetic code in two manners: having more than one tRNA (with a specific anti-codon) for a particular amino acid; and 'wobble' base-pairing, i.e. permitting non-standard base-pairing at the 3rd anti-codon position.
Source: RNAcentral